GAUGAACGCUGGCGGCGUGCCUAAUACAUGCAAGUCGAGCGAACGGACGAGAAGCUUGCUUCUCUGAUGUUAGCGGCGGACGGGUGAGUAACACGUGGAUAUCCUACCUAUAAGACUGGGAUAACUUCGGGAAACCGGAGCUAAUACCGGAUAAUAUUUUGAACCGCAUGGUUCAAAAGUGAAAGACGGUCUUGCUGUCACUUAUAGAUGGAUCCGCGCUGCAUUAGCUAGUUGGUAAGGUAACGGCUUACCAAGGCAACGAUGCAUAGCCGACCUGAGAGGGUGAUCGGCCACACUGGAACUGAGACACGGUCCAGACUCCUACGGGAGGCAGCAGUAGGGAAUCUUCCGCAAUGGGCGAAAGCCUGACGGAGCAACGCCGCGUGAGUGAUGAAGGUCUUCGGAUCGUAAAACUCUGUUAUUAGGGAAGAACAUACGUGUAAGUAACUGUGCACAUCUUGACGGUACCUAAUCAGAAAGCCACGGCUAACUACGUG
This 497-nucleotide ribosomal RNA is filed under the name uncultured bacterium. RNAcentral describes it as "partial 16S ribosomal RNA". It matches the Rfam family "Bacterial small subunit ribosomal RNA", at positions 28 to 507 of the family's 1533-position model. The record is from RNAcentral.